GCAUUGGUGGUUCAGUGGUAGAAUUCUCGCCACCUAUGCAGGAGACCUGGGUUUGAUUCCCGGCCACUGCA
RNAcentral lists this transfer RNA (71 nucleotides) under Loxodonta africana (African savanna elephant). It matches the Rfam family "tRNA". Rfam says of the family: Transfer RNA (tRNA) molecules are approximately 80 nucleotides in length. The record is from Rfam by way of RNAcentral. Lineage: Eukaryota; Metazoa; Chordata; Mammalia; Proboscidea; Elephantidae.